RNAcentral lists this ribosomal RNA (477 nucleotides) under Davidius nanus. RNAcentral's name for it is "partial 16S ribosomal RNA". It matches the Rfam family "Archaeal large subunit ribosomal RNA", at positions 2000 to 2677 of the family's 2987-position model. Lineage: Eukaryota; Metazoa; Arthropoda; Insecta; Odonata; Gomphidae. The record is from RNAcentral.
UUUAACGGCCGCGGUAUUUUGACCGUGCAAAGGUAGCAUAAUCAUUAGUCUUUUAAUAGGAGGCUGGAAUGAAGGGUUUGACGAGGUGUUGACUGUCUCAUUUAAUUUGAAAUUAAAAUUUAACUUUUCAGUUAAAAGGCUGAAAUUAUAUUGGAAGACGAGAAGACCCUAUAGAGCUUCAUAGUUACAGUUUUAAUUAAUUAUUGUUUAAUCAUUAUUUUUUAUAAUUAUACCUAUUUUGUUGGGGUGACAAAAAUAUAAAAGUAACUUUUUUAUUUAGUGUUCAUUGAUUUAUGAACUUUAGAUCCAAUUUUAUUGAUUGUUAGAAUAAGUUACCUUAGGGAUAACAGCGUAAUCUUCCUUCAGAGUUCAUAUUUACAGGAAGGAUUGCGACCUCGAUGUUGGAUUAAGAUAAUAAUUAGGUGUAGCCGCUUAAUUUAUAGGUCUGUUCGACCUUUAAACUCUUACAUGAUCUGA